This is an unclassified non-coding RNA of Pongo abelii (Sumatran orangutan), 216 nucleotides long. It matches the Rfam family "Metazoan signal recognition particle RNA". From Rfam's summary of the family: The signal recognition particle (SRP) is a universally conserved ribonucleoprotein. It is involved in the co-translational targeting of proteins to membranes. Lineage: Eukaryota; Metazoa; Chordata; Mammalia; Primates; Hominidae. The record is from Ensembl.
CUUGAGACUAGGAGGGCUGCAGUGUACUAUACCAAUCACUUGUCUGCACUAAGUUCAGAAUCAACAUGGUGACUUCCUGAGGGCAGGGGACAACCAGGUUACCUUGGUAGGGGUGAACAGGCCCAGGUUAGAAAGAAAGUAGGUCAAAACUUUCGUGCUGAUGAGUAGUGCAAUUGUGCCUGUGAAUAGCCAUUGCACUCAGCUUGGGCAACAUAG